Molecule: long non-coding RNA, 4361 nt
Filed under: Homo sapiens (human)
Lineage: Eukaryota; Metazoa; Chordata; Mammalia; Primates; Hominidae
Description: HSALNT0382913
Source: RNAcentral
GCGGGAGGAACCGAGCUCAGUCUCCCGCUACCUCUACGCCAGCCCCGACCGGGCUGCUCCUGCCCAAGCCUCCCCAACUUCCCGCGAGGUUAAGGUGCAGGCAAGCUCCCAGAGCUCCCCCUCCUCCCUGCCCCAAGAAGUCACGACAUAAGAUGUAUUACAAUGUCUAGCAAAUAAAAAAGCAAUUGGGGGAAAUCUGAAUUCGUUCCCAUGGCAACCCAAUGCAGCACACCCGGCCACUCAGGCUCCCAGCCCCUCUUAACUGGGCUCAGGGAGUGGGGCUUGCCCCUGCUCAGUGCGUGGGGGUCCCGGCCCCACACAGUGCUAGGGUCCCUCUCGAGUUUCUCAUCUGCCUUCAGGUCACUUUCCACCCUGAUGCCUUGGCUUGUCCUGAAGCUCAGGGCCCCUGUAGCUUGGGAAACCUCCCAAGCUCCCCAGCGAGUGGCUGUAGACCAAGGAAGGGACCCUGCCCGGCUUCAGGGAAGAAAGGAAGAAAGUUACUCCCCUGCUGGUGCCUCCCUCCUUGGCGCGCUUCCCACCUGCGAUCGGCGCCCUCUUCGCAGUCACGAACUCGCCAGCAGCUAGCAGCACUGACUAGUAGGAGGGCCCGCCGGAGGAGAGGACAUGCUCUGGAGUCAGAAGACAGCGAAAAGAGAAGCAGAAGCCCCGGUGGCAAGAGUCUGAAGGAAGGAUGACUGUAGCCUGUGGAUUGUACUGCAGUAGGAAACUGUCCUAGCAAGGCUCCACUUUGCCCCAGCUUCAAGCUGGAAAGGAGGAGAACAUGAAACAUUGCUUGAAGACAAUGGCCGAGACAGCAGGUCCCACCCUGCACAGCCACCAGCAUCUCUCCCCUCAGCCCUGUCUCCUCUUCUGCAGUUGGGAUCUGCACAUUUAAGCCUGAAAUUGUCCUGUGAAGUGAAGUAUGAUCGGACAGCCUCUUUUCAGCUUUUAUGACAAUGGAGACAGAGGAAUUGUGGCUCUUGCCAAGGUCACAGGAUUGGAAUACAGAGCCAAGCCACCCCAGGACAUGCAAGAGCCUCAGAAGGGAAAAAAGCCCAGCAGGAAGGGAGAACAAGUAGCCUCUGUCCUGAAGUUGUAACAGCCAGGGGCCAGGAUGGAGGAGGAGGACCCCAUAAUCUGCCCAUCUGGGACUUGGCAGGGGACCUGGGAAAAUGUACCCCAACCCAUCCCUUAAGGGCCUUUGUCUUUGGCCCAUUGGCCUAGCAUCUACUUCUUCACCGUGUCUGUUCUUGUCACACCUAGUCAGGUCUGUUUGGGUCUGAGGUGCAUGGAACAUUCUGGGUAGGCCUCCAGCAAACGGAAGCUCUUCACCGUGUUUCCAGCCUGGGACCAAGGGCAGCAUACUGGCAAAGUUGCCAAAGCAAGGGACUCCAGCCUCUUAGGAGUUAAUGACUCCCUCUCCCCAGCUGUCCUCCCCUUGGUGCUCCUCUUCCUCCCUCCUCCUGCUCACAGCAGGCAGGGCCUAGACCCGGGAGCCAUGCUGCUGUGCUGUUGCCAGGGGAGCACGGAGGCAGAUCUGAGCUAUGCAGGGAAAAGGCCCAGCCUGUCAAAGUGUCUGAGAUGAACCGCCGCCGUCCCUGUGCAGCUGGGCUCAGACGUGUCUCAGCUCUUGUUCUGUGCCUGAGAAUGGCGAAACCCAGUGAGGUUCAAGGGCAAACUCGCUAUUCAUUAGUCAGGGGUUCUUGACGUCCCGUCUCUCCCAGGGAUGAGUUCCCCCCUCCUCUUUCUCCCCCUCCUAUGACACAUUCCUGGGUGCCUUUGGUGAGGACUGCACACCCUCCUCCUGCCUAGCCCCCUCUCCAAAGGCCCCUGAAUAAACUCCCCCCAAGGAGACCAGGCAGGGCAGAGACAAUGGCUGCAGGAAAUCAUUCAGGCGGGACAUGCUGGCCUGCCCUCCACCCAGUCCCCCUGUGGGCCCCACUCCCUUCUGAUUCAGGGCACCCUUGGGCCCCCAGCCUAUACAGGCCUGGACAGGAAGAAACCACUGGGAACCACCCUAAGGACAACAUGCUAGUCCAGUGCCAUUCUUCGCUGGCUCUGUGGGUGCCUUUGUGGCCUGUACCGACUGGCUGGCUAAUUUUGUGGUUUCUGUACCAUCACAUGCCUAUUUUAAGACACUCUCCAGCACUGUCGGUUAGGGAGUGUAAAUUUUGCAAUAUUUUCUGAAAUGUGGCAAUAUCAAAAUGUAAAAGGCACACAUACUUGGUCACAAACAAAUGGCACUAUUUACUCUGUGGGCAUAUUUGUAAAAGUUGCCAAAGAAUUAUAUACAAGGAUGUUCAUCAGAGCAUUUCUUUUGAAGAGUAAAGAAAUGGACAUGAACCUGUGGUCCGUUCAUACGGUGGAAUACCUAUGCAGCUGUAAAAAUCAGUGUGGUAGAUCUCCGUAUAUGAGUUGAUGUGGAAGGUUGGCCAGUUCACAUGAUAAGGUGAAUAGAAUAAGUUACAGAACAGGCUGUAGAGUAUGAUCUUAUUUGUAGAUGUUUAAAACUGAGUCAUAAGUAUGCUUAUAUACAGAUCGUUUCUGGAAGUAUGUACUGGAAGUCUACCUCUGGGGAGUGGGGAUGGGGGAGUGCACUCUUCUAUACUGUUAUAUUUUCUUUUCAUGCUCCUAAGGUACUUUUAUUGGAAGAUGUAAAGCGGUUCAAUGUAAUAGGCUUAACUUCUGUCAACUAAGUUGGCGUGGGUGCUUUAAGAGGGUGGUAGUGAUGUUGCUGGAGAAAGUAUCCCACAGUCACUGGUGGCUUCAGCCACGGGCCAUUUUGGGGCCUAAUAAUCACAUAUCAUCAUGGUUGCUAGUGUUAAUCGAAAACCUACUAAGUGCCAGGCUUACUGUCUCUGGGUCUUGCUUACGUGGAUGUCAUUUUUCCAGUUGCACCAAAUCGAAAGAGGUUAAUUGGUUUGUUGGAGUUCCUUUGUAGGUGAAGGGCAGAGCCAGGAGCUUGGCUAGGGACAGGGGAGGUGAGUGGGGGAUGGUGGAUAGGUCUUGGCUCCCAGUUUCCUUCUGGGCAGACAUUGCCCCUCUGCCCUGAGGACCUGCUUGUUUGGGGGAAGAGGCCUUUAGAGGCACCAGGGUCAUGCCAGGUGUUGGACAUGGUGAACUGGGAAGUGCUCCCAUCUGGCCACAGCGCAGAAGUAUCACCGUGCUGGGGGAUGGGGAACAGGGCUGUGAAUGGGCCUAUUUGCAUAAGCAGCAUGUGUCUGGAGAGAAAGACAUCACAGAGCAGAAGAGUGCGGGUGCCCAGGAGUGCACUUGCCACCCCUACUUCAUCCCUGAAAGAGUAAAUGGCCUGGAAGGUGUCUCUGAGAGGUAAUGCCGCACACCACCCUCCCUGGGGGCAGGGUCAGGCUACACCUGCCUUAGGUCGGGGGCUGCAGCAGCCUGAGAGCUCUCAGUAGGGCCUCAGUAGCCUGGGAGGGAGCAGGGGCAGGGGGCAGGGAAAGAGGCGUAAUGGGGCUGUCCAGAGGGGCCUGGGAAACCUGGUCCCUGAGGCCUGGGCACAGCUACAAUCACUUCAAAUUGGCUGUGGGGCCAGUGGACUGGGAAGGAAAAAAGCAAUAAGAGUGACCAAGUGCAGAAGGCUGUCAGGUCCCAGGUCACAUGCCUUAGUGCAGUGACUCCUCAUCAUUUUAUGGGGUGUGGGUGUCGUUGGUACACCCAUUUUACAGAUGAGGACACCGAGGCCCAGAAAAGUUAAGUUACAUGUCCUAAGUCACACAGCUUGUAAGUGCCAGAACUGAGAUCAAAACCAAGUCUCUUUGACUUUAAAGUCUGUACUCUGACCCCAAAGAGAUCCUGUUUGGCCACUUAUAGGAGGUCCCUAAAGCUGCAGACUCCCCUUGCCGGCACCCACAUAUAGAGACAUUAACCCUUCCCCUGCAGGGUCACCUCAAAUAGUCUUUUAGCUGGGCUUCUCCUGCAAUUCCACCUAAUGCCAUCCCCUGGGUUUUGCCCAAACCUGAACUGGGCAGUGGGGUGAGAGGAGGGGUUUACAGGGUUACAGAGCCUCAUACAGAUAGGAGCCCAUGGCUGCUGGUCAUCUGCAUUCCUGCAGGAUUGGCUGUUCCUUGGGGUCCUUGGCAGGAAAAUGAGGAUUGCUCCGAGGCCUGCUCCAGUACUUCCCAGAGGCUGGCCUGGUGUGGGGCUCUGGGAAGGCUGAGGCUGGAGAAGCGUAAGUAGGAGGGCAGAGAUGGCACUCAGGUAGCUUGAAUCACCAGGACCCUUCCAAGCCCCACAGGUUCUGAGGGAGUACUAGGGCCAGCUCUGGGAGAGGUCUCUUCCUAUGCUGUGAACCCCCUGCCUUUCUUGCAGCCUACAACGAAUAAAUUUUCUUUGCAAAG